Molecule: non-coding RNA, 101 nt
Organism: Phalacrocorax carbo (great cormorant)
Lineage: Eukaryota; Metazoa; Chordata; Aves; Suliformes; Phalacrocoracidae
Source: RefSeq, a predicted model, not a curated record
CCCCCCCCGGGUUUCACACCUCUUGUUGUUUUCCUUUCCGCUGCAUUUUUGUUACAGCGUUGUUUCUUUUAAUUUUAAUUAUUAAACUGUUCUUAUCUCAA